This 497-nucleotide ribosomal RNA is filed under the name uncultured bacterium. RNAcentral describes it as "partial 16S ribosomal RNA". It matches the Rfam family "Bacterial small subunit ribosomal RNA", at positions 28 to 507 of the family's 1533-position model. The record is from RNAcentral.
GAUGAACGCUGGCGGCGUGCCUAAUACAUGCAAGUCGAGCGAACAGACGAGGAGCUUGCUCCUCUGACGUUAGCGGCGGACGGGUGAGUAACACGUGGAUAACCUACCUAUAAGACUGGGAUAACUUCGGGAAACCGGAGCUAAUACCGGAUAAUAUAUUGAACCGCAUGGUUCAAUGGUGAAAGACGGUUUUGCUGUCACUUAUAGAUGGAUCCGCGCCGCAUUAGCUAGUUGGUAAGGUAACGGCUUACCAAGGCGACGAUGCGUAGCCGACCUGAGAGGGUGAUCGGCCACACUGGAACUGAGACACGGUCCAGACUCCUACGGGAGGCGGCAGUAGGGAAUCUUCCGCAAUGGGCGAAAGCCUGACGGAGCAACGCCGCGUGAGUGAUGAAGGUCUUCGGAUCGUAAAACUCUGUUAUUAGGGAAGAACAAAUGUGUAAGUAACUAUGCACGUCUUGACGGUACCUAAUCAGAAAGCCACGGCUAACUACGUG